UAGUGGCGAACGGGUGAGUAACGCGUGAGUAACCUGCCCUAGAGUGGGGGACAACAGUUGGAAACGACUGCUAAUACCGCAUAAGCCCACGGUACCGCAUGGUACUGAGGGAAAAGGAUUUAUUCGCUUUAGGAUGGACUCGCGUCCAAUUAGCUAGUUGGUGAGGUAACGGCCCACCAAGGCGACGAUUGGUAGCCGGACUGAGAGGUUGAACGGCCACAUUGGGACUGAGACACGGCCCAGACUCCUACGGGAGGCAGCAGUGGGGGAUAUUGCACAAUGGGGGAAACCCUGAUGCAGCGACGCCGCGUGGAGGAAGAAGGUUUUCGGAUUGUAAACUCCUGUCGUUAGGGACGAUAAUGACGGUACCUAACAAGAAAGCACCGGCUAACUACGUGCCAGCAGCCGCGGUAAAACGUAGGGUGCAAGCGUUGUCCGGAAUUACUGGGUGUAAAGGGAGCGCAGGCGGGAAGACAAGUUGGAAGUGAAAACCAUGGGCUCAACCCAUGAAUUGCUUUCAAAACUGUUUUUCUUGAGUAGUGCAGAGGUAGAUGGAAUUCCCGGUGUAGCGGUGGAAUGCGUAGAUAUCGGGAGGAACACCAGUGGCGAAGGCGGUCUACUGGGCACCAACUGACGCUGAGGCUCGAAAGCAUGGGUAGCAAACAGGAUUAGAUACCCUGGUAGUCCAUGCCGUAAACGAUGAUUACUAGGUGUUGGGGGAUUGACCCCCUCAGUGCCGCAGUUAACACAA
RNAcentral lists this ribosomal RNA (751 nucleotides) under uncultured bacterium. RNAcentral describes it as "bacterial SSU rRNA". It matches the Rfam family "Bacterial small subunit ribosomal RNA", at positions 93 to 860 of the family's 1533-position model. The record is from RNAcentral.